This 451-nucleotide ribosomal RNA is filed under the name uncultured bacterium. Its description in RNAcentral is "bacterial SSU rRNA". It matches the Rfam family "Bacterial small subunit ribosomal RNA", at positions 354 to 796 of the family's 1533-position model. The record is from RNAcentral.
GUGGGGAAUAUUGCGCAAUGGUCGAAAGACUGACGCAGCGACGCCGCGUGUGGGAGGAAGCCCUUCGGGGUGUAAACCACUGUCGGGGGGGACGAAUCCCGGGCGGGCAAAUAGCCCGAACGGUUGACGGUACCCCCAAAGGAAGCACCGGCUAACUCCGUGCCAGCAGCCGCGGUAAGACGGAGGGUGCAAGCGUUGUUCGGAAUUACUGGGCGUAAAGCGCGGGCAGGUGGCCUUUUAAGUCCUGUGUGAAAUCCCGGGGCUCAACUCCGGAUGUGCAUAGGAUACUGGAAGGCUAGGGACUGGUAGAGGCGAGCGGAAUUCCUGGUGUAGCGGUGGAAUGCGUAGAUAUCAGGAAGAACACCGGUGGCGAAGGCGGCUCGCUGGGCCAGAUCCGACACUCAGCCGCGAAAGCGUGGGGAGCAAACAGGAUUAGAAACCCCAGUAGUCC